RNAcentral lists this long non-coding RNA (444 nucleotides) under Elaeis guineensis (African oil palm). Its description in RNAcentral is "long non-coding RNA (EGUI_LNC082334)". Lineage: Eukaryota; Viridiplantae; Streptophyta; Magnoliopsida; Arecales; Arecaceae. The record is from RNAcentral.
AAUUCAUCUAUCAUAAACUUAUCAUUUUAGUAUCUCUGCCAUUUCAAACUUGAAAUGUAACAGAUUUAGCAGUUUCUCACAAAUCAAGAAUAUUCAUUAAGUAUUUCAUUAACAAUAAAAUAUAUUUGUUUCAACAAGUGUCUUUAUGACUUGAAAUCAUAAUUGUUAAUUUGUGCAAGAAUAUAUGUAAUAAUGAAUAAAAGUUGGAUGGAUAUUUCUGAUAGAUGACUUUCUCAAUAUGAGAAAAAAAUUCAUGAAUUUCUUAAAUUUGCAUUUAGCAAUUUAGAUGAAGGGAGAACAAUCCAUUAUCCAUAUAAAAGGUGUAAUAAUAAUUUUUUUAGGACUCGAUAGUCCAUUUACGAAUGCUUGAUUAUCAAUGGGAUAAAUAAGGAUUAUAAGCGAUGGUUUCAUCAUGGAGAGCAAAUGUAUGAAUCUGAUGAAGGG